Non-coding RNA from Crucibulum laeve, 88 nucleotides. Lineage: Eukaryota; Fungi; Basidiomycota; Agaricomycetes; Agaricales; Nidulariaceae. The record is from the annotation of a GenBank genome assembly.
GGUUCAGUGGUCUAGUGGUUAUGAUUUCUGUCUCACAACAUGUUGUUCUUAACACAGAAGGUCCCCGGUUCGACCCCGGGCUGAACCA